RNAcentral lists this ribosomal RNA (382 nucleotides) under Oreolalax major (common lazy toad). Its description in RNAcentral is "partial small subunit ribosomal RNA". It matches the Rfam family "Bacterial small subunit ribosomal RNA", at positions 845 to 1399 of the family's 1533-position model. The record is from RNAcentral. Lineage: Eukaryota; Metazoa; Chordata; Amphibia; Anura; Megophryidae.
UUGAUUAUUACAAUUUUAUUCGCCAGGGAACUACGAGCGUCAGCUUAAAACCCAAAGGACUUGGCGGUGCCCUACACCUCCUAGAGGAGCCUGUUCUAUAAUCGAUGAUCCACGAUACACCUCACCGUUUCUUGCCAAAACCGCCUAUAUACCGCCGUCUCCAACUUACCCUAUGAAGGAUUUACAGUAAGUUCAAAGAUCACUCAUCAGAACGUCAGGUCAAGGUGUAGCGAAUGAAACGGGAAGAAAUGGGCUACAUUUUCUAUUUUAGAUCACACGGACAGUCAGUAUGAAACCUGAUUAUGAAGGAGGAUUUAGCAGUAAAAAGAAAUCAGCAAGUUCUUUUUAAGUCGGACCUAGGGCGCGUACACACCGCCCGUCA